UGGGGAAUAUUGGACAAUGGGCGCAAGCCUGAUCCAGCCAUGCCGCGUGUGUGAAGAAGGCCUUAUGGUUGUAAAGCACUUUAAGCGAGGAGGAGGCUACUUUAGAUAAUACCUAGAGAUAGUGGACGUUACUCGCAGAAUAAGCACCGGCUAACUCUGUGCCAGCAGCCGCGGUAAUACAGAGGGUGCAAGCGUUAAUCGGAUUUACUGGGCGUAAAGCGCGCGUAGGCGGCUAAUUAAGUCAAAUGU
This 249-nucleotide ribosomal RNA is filed under the name uncultured bacterium. RNAcentral's name for it is "partial 16S ribosomal RNA". It matches the Rfam family "Bacterial small subunit ribosomal RNA", at positions 355 to 595 of the family's 1533-position model. RNAcentral also lists the same sequence under 1 other name. The record is from RNAcentral.